This 400-nucleotide ribosomal RNA is filed under the name uncultured archaeon. RNAcentral's name for it is "bacterial SSU rRNA". It matches the Rfam family "Archaeal small subunit ribosomal RNA", at positions 90 to 473 of the family's 1478-position model. The record is from RNAcentral.
UCAGUAACGCGUGGCUAACCUACCCUCAGGACGGAGACAACCCCGGGAAACUGGGACUAAUAACCGAUAGGCGAGGAGGCCUGGAAUGGUUUCUCACCUAAAAAACUUUGAGAACAUGCUUUCAUUGUUGCCUGAGGAUGGGGCCGCGCCCGAUCAGGUUGUUGGUGAGGUAAUGGCUCACCAAGCCUAUAACCGGUACGGGCCGUGAGAGCGGUAGCCCGGAGAUGGGUACUGAGACAAGGACCCAGGCCCUACGGGGCGCAGCAGUCGCGAAAACUCCGCAAUGCACGAAAGUGUGACGGGGCUACCCCGAGUGCUCUCCGCUGAGGAAAGCUUUUCCUUGGUAUAACUAGCCANGGGGAAUAAGGAGAGGGCAAGACUGUGUCAGCCGCCGCGGUAA